GACAGAGAAUCGAUAAGGUAAACAGAUAGAAACACAGACAAGUCCAAGUAAUUUAAAAGCUUUGAGAAUUAAGGUUGGCCCGGUCAGUGGAGAAAAAGGGAUUAAGGUGACUGGAGACUAGACGACGAGACGAUUAACGACAAUCAGAUAAUCAACUAAUAGAAACAAGAGAAAGAGAAACGUCAACAAACCAACUAAAAGAGAAUUCGAAUUUUUGGUUUUCUUUUUUCUCUUUUUAUCACUUACAUGAGUUACUUUUUCCUUCCAAUUCUAAAAACAAUUAGUUCUCUUCUUCUUUAACCUCAAGCAUUUUCUUCAUCUUGAUUCUUGUGGUUGAUUCUCAGAUAAAUUAACAUCUUUCACUUGUUCAAUUCUAAUUAAUCAUCAACAAUCAAUCAGCAUUCUGAUUGUUUUUUAUUUGUUUUCUUGUUCUCAUCAAUUAACUUGUUUGGUUCAUUUUUUAUUCUGUGUCGUUUUGUCAUUGGAAACUAUUAACUCUUGUUGUUUUUUUUUUAAUUCUUACCUGAUAAUCUAGUUAAUUGUUCCGGAAACAAGGCCAAGGUUCAUUCAAAAUUCAAAUUGUUUACUAUUAAUGUUUAAUCUUUUCAUCUUCUUCUACAAUUGUAUUUACCUCGACCUGAUUUAAUUUGUUUUGCAAUUUAUAACAAUUAGAAAGAAACAAACUACCUGAUUAUCUUUCAUUCUAAAUCAUCAAUUGGAAAAUUCAAUAGUUAUCAAUGUCAACUGGUUAAAUUUGAUGAUGUCAAAUUUUAAAUCUGUUGAUUUUUUUAGCAUUAAUUAAUCUGGUCUCCAUUGGAUGGAGCUGCUUGUAUCAAAGUGGACCAAGUGAUUGAUUAAAGUUGCAAGUUUGAUUUUUGUUUUGAAUGUUAAUUGUUUCGUUUUAACACAAACAUUAGAUAUUUGAGACAAAAUUAAUGACCGGUAAAAGAUAAUUAUGAUUAAGAUGAAAGAUUAAAGGUUCAUCUUUCAUUUAAAUCUUUUUUUCUUCUUUCCUUUUCCAUCCUCAUCACUCUUCACAUCAUCAUCUUCAUCACCAACAACAUCUUCUUCUUAUUUUUCAUCCUCAUCUUUAAAAUGGUGGUCAAACAAAUCGGAAAAGAGCGAGAGAGAUAAACAAAAUAUCCAAGGCCUAAGACACUUUGUUUCUCAAUAGAUUAAUUUCAUUGAUGGAUUUUGUGAUUAACCCUUGAUCUCUAUAGUUAUUUUCACUCUAUGAUUAACAAUCAAUCUUUAUCUGUUGAAUCAACUUAAUCACCAUCAGUAAAUCAUCAACAUCAAUUACAGUAAAAUACAUAACCACAUAGAGAUGAAGGAUAACCAAACAAAAUACACAGAAAAAUGAUCAAGGAGCUGAAAGGAAAACAAAUUGUUCUGUUGAUUAGGAUGAUGAUUGAAUUACGUUUAAAUUAUGUUUUGGUUAAAUUUUGAUGAGAAAAACGAAAAUGCUGAUGAAUGCUUUGAUUCUAACCUUCAUCUACUCAAUCAUAAUUCAAAUGAUGGCUCAAGAUAUCAGACGAAGAUAAAAAGAUGACAAAAUGCUGAUGAUUAUGUUUAUAAUUAGUAAUAAUUACGGGCAAUCAAAUCGUUUGAGAUAAUUGUUACAAUCACGGAGAAAAUGAUUAGAAUCAAAGGGGAAAAAAAUUCAAGUCGAAAUAACAAAAUCUUAAUACGAUUCAAGUCUCUGUGAUAUUCAACAUAAUAGUUAAUUGUAAACAUUAAAUUACAAUCAAGUUAUAAUUUACAUUUUGAUGACGAUUAACGUAAAAAGGACAUCAAUUCAUAGUAAUCAUCAUAAUCAACUUCAUUUGAAUCAUUCAAGAAAAAAGGACUCAAAAGGAACCAGGGAAAAGUAGAAAGAAAUCUACAUUGAGAUUGUUCCAUCAAUGGGCUGCAUUCAUUUUAAUGGGAGUUUUCAUCCGAUAAAAUGGUUCUCUCUCUCAACCACCCAUUCAACAACAACAACAACAACAAGGAGGAUGAUAAAAGGCAAUGGUAAAUGGGAGAGAACGACCAAGAGAAGAUGAUAAAAAAGGAGAAGAUGAAGAUGAAGAAAGGUAAGAAAAGAAAGAGUCUUAGAAGAAAGAAAAAGCAAUAAGUGUGGCGCCAACAAGUAUUCACAGAAUUGAGGUGAAGUUUAGUAACUUGUGAAGCUUUUUCAUUCAUUCAACUUCAUUCAUUCGGAGAAAACAUCAUACAGUUUUACAAUCGACCUUUUCUUCAUCUUUUUGGUUUCUUCUCUCUUUUUACUACUUCUUCUCUCUUAUUUUCUUUCUCCAUCUUUCAUAGGAAAACGAUUUUUAAUUAUACAUCCAAUCUCUUUUUUUUAUGGAUCUUUUAUUCAUAUUUUGUUUUCUUCUUCUUCUUCUUCUUCUUUACCUUUGCAGUGAAUUUGGACUCACCCAGAAUAAUAGUCAUGACUUUUGUUCAUCUUCCAUUUGCUUUUCGAUUCAUGACGAUGAUUAUCAUCUCUUGAGAUUCUUAUAUUAAUAUAUUAAUUUUUUCGUCUUCUU
Panonychus citri (citrus red mite) is the source of this 2531-nucleotide long non-coding RNA. RefSeq lists it as uncharacterized. The transcript is spliced from 7 exons. NCBI's taxonomy places the organism in Eukaryota, Metazoa, Arthropoda, Arachnida, Trombidiformes, Tetranychidae. The record is from RefSeq and is a predicted model, not a curated record.